UUGGCUCAGGACCGACGCUGGCGGCGUGCCUAAUACAUGCAAGUCGUACGCUUCUUUUUCCACCGGAGCUUGCUCCACCGGAAAAAGAAGAGUGGCGAACGGGUGAGUAACACGUGGGUAACCUGCCCAUCAGAAGGGGAUAACACUUGGAAACAGGUGCUAAUACCGUAUAACAAUCGAAACCGCAUGGUUUUGAUUUGAAAGGCGCUUUCGGGUGUCGCUGAUGGAUGGACCCGCGGUGCAUUAGCUAGUUGGUGAGGUAACGGCUCACCAAGGCCACGAUGCAUAGCCGACCUGAGAGGGUGAUCGGCCACAUUGGACUGAGACACGCC
Molecule: ribosomal RNA, 332 nt
Filed under: Enterococcus durans
Lineage: Bacteria; Bacillati; Bacillota; Bacilli; Lactobacillales; Enterococcaceae
Description: bacterial SSU rRNA
Rfam family: Bacterial small subunit ribosomal RNA
Source: RNAcentral